Non-coding RNA from Phrynosoma platyrhinos (Desert horned lizard), 74 nucleotides. NCBI's taxonomy places the organism in Eukaryota, Metazoa, Chordata, Lepidosauria, Squamata, Phrynosomatidae. The record is from the annotation of a GenBank genome assembly.
GGGCAGAGCUAGCAUGGUGGUUUGAGCAUUGGACUUCGACUCUGGAGACCAGGGUUUGAUUCCCAGCUUGCCCA